GCUUGGAUGUGAAUGUAGGAGGUGUGAAAAGUACUUUUGUGGAGAAUGGGAAAUGUGGGUAGCGAGGAAGUCUGCCAAUGUUCGCAACAAGGUAUAGGCUAGAUCAUCGAACCCUUAUUGUCAUGCAGGGAUAUCAAUACUGGAGGAUGUAGUUUUCUUCACACAAAGAGUAUCAGUUUUACCUCGUUUGAUGAUAUCAGAUGUUUCUCUCAAUGCCAUGUUG
Long non-coding RNA from Amblyraja radiata (thorny skate), 223 nucleotides. RefSeq lists it as uncharacterized. The record is from RefSeq and is a predicted model, not a curated record. NCBI's taxonomy places the organism in Eukaryota, Metazoa, Chordata, Chondrichthyes, Rajiformes, Rajidae. The transcript has 2 exons.